This 6142-nucleotide long non-coding RNA is filed under the name Podarcis lilfordi (Lilford's wall lizard). The record is from RNAcentral. Lineage: Eukaryota; Metazoa; Chordata; Lepidosauria; Squamata; Lacertidae.
CCAUGUGCUGGGUAUAUAAUUCAAGAGGGUAUUUUGCUCUGUAAAUGUAAGGUUGUUCUGUACAGUUCUGUUGAUGGUUUCAAUUACCUUCUGCCAAAAAAAGUGUUUUAAAUGAGUUAUCACUCUCUGACACCAGAGGGCGCUGUAGAGUUCCAUCUAAUUUGAGUAGUAGAGUGCUUGGUAUCUGGUGGGCAGGGCUUGUGUGCUUUGGUCAGGAAUCAGUCCCUCCCUUCAGUGUGUGUUCAGUUGAGAAUGUCAGUUAACAGAGACCCAAACUCUCUUUUUGUUUCUUGCCUCAGGCUUGCCUCACAUUGCUGUAUUUAGUUUCUCUUCUUAUGUCCUUUUCUUGAAGUGCAACCUGUGUUCAUCUGUGGUACAAGAGGCUUCGACACGGAAACGUCAGGAUUAUAGUAAACCUGCCAAAUAAAGGUUUGGUGAGAUGAAGGAACUUAAACCUUGUAAAGUUGACCUGAAUAGUGAAAUAUGUGGGGCUUGCUAGCUUGGGAAGUCCCAUAUCUUUCACUCCAUAAGACGCACCUGACCAUAGGACGCACCUAGUUUUUAGAGGAGGAAAGGGGGAAAGCCCCGUUUUUUUGGGGGGGGAGAGUCAGCUCAAAGUUGUGCAGGUACUUUUGCAAAGGGGGAAAGCCCCUUUUCUGAGGAUCAGCUCAAAGUUGUUGAGCUUACUUUGCAAAGGGAAAAAAUACUGUUUUUAUGGGGUUCAACUCACAGUUCUGCAGCUUCUUUAGGAAAGGAAAGCGAGCUGUUUCUACAGUUUCCAGACAGAUAAUCUAAUUAGCCAGUCACAUGUUGCUGGGGAAACAAACAGCCUCCAUCUGUGGAACAUUCAACAAUGGAGGCCUGGGCAAGGGGCCGGGGCCGGAAAGGGAGCCAGCGAUCGACCACACAUUCGCUCCAUAAGACGCACAGACAUUUCCCCUUACUUUUUAGGAGGAAAAAAAGUGUGUCUUAUGCCAGUCAAACAGGUCUUCCCUGCAAAAAAAAUCCCCAGAUUUCACAACAUUGGAGUAGUGUGAGUGGGGGCUGGGGGCACCACAUUGGGGACCCUGGGCAGAGUAGUUGGGGCAAUCUCAUCCUUUAUAUCCAGCCUGUGGCUCCAGACCAAAUUAUCACUCAGGAGAGCUAUGGCCUGGUCAGCACACAGGCAUGUGACCCCCCCAGCUGUCCUGAGCCUGCUCUAGCUCAGAAAUCACACACCUACUCCCCAAGCUAGCAAGCCCCACCUGGGAUGUGGGUCCUUGCCCGCCUUCCCUCAGAGCUAACAGCUGUAACUUCAGGAAUCCUGAGAUCACGGGUGGUACGUCCCAUUUCGCCCCUUGAGGCAAAACAGGAAGUGCCACCCUGCUCUGCCACACCACCACGCCACUCACCACCAAUGCGCCACCUGCUGGUGGCACUGCAGCUUCUUGGAAGAUCUGCUGUAUCAAGCUACUUAAAGUAGACAUCAGUGAAUCUGUCAAUGUCAGUUUCUCCCUGUUUCUCAUUCAUCCAGUUUUAAGUUCAGUUCUCCUCACAUCCACAUCUGUUUGUGGUUAUAAUUAUUUUGAAACGGUCUCAUGAAAAUUCAUUUGAAGUUCUCACACUAGAUACAUUUUUGCAAAGCCAUUUUGUGCUGUGGAAUGUAUUUUAUAUGUUAUUUUCACGAAUAUAUAUACACACUCCCCCCCCCCCCAAUGUGUGCAUUUUCCUACAUAUUACUUGAGUGGAGAGCUGCAUUGCAAAAUUCAGAAAAGUGCAAAUUUUGCAGGAGGAUUCUGUUUUCGUUUGGGUCUUGUUCCCUUUUUUUCUGUCCCUAAUCGAGACAGGAAAGAGAAGACCUUAGAAUUUGCGUGACCACGAUCACAUGAUAGGGCUUCUGAACAUGACCAGAUUUCAAGAAUAGUACAGAGUGGUAUCCUUGGUACAAGUUUGUGACUUAAAAGGUAAAAAGGUAAAGGACCCUUGACAGUUAAGUCCAGUCGCCAACGACUCUGGGGUUACGGUGCUCAUCUCACUUUACUGGCUGAGGGAACCAGCAUUUGUCUGCAGAGUUUUUCCAGGUCAUGUGGCCAGCAUGACUAAGCCGCUUCUGGCAAAACCAGAGCAGCGCACUGAAACAUCAUUUACCUUCCCACUGCAGUGGUACCUAUUUAUCUACUUGCACUUUGCCGUGCUUUCGAACUGCUUGGUUGGCAGGAGCUGGGACCGAGCAAUGGUAGCUCACCCCAUCACAGGGAUUCGAACCGCCGACCUUCCAAUCGGCAAGCCCUGGGCUCAGUGGUUUAGACUUCCCAAUUGCUGAAUUGGCACACUGUAAUGUCACUGUACUUUUCUUUUCCAUUUUUGCAAACAUUUUGGUUACAGUGUUGACCUAAAAUCUGAAACAAGACAGUGCUUUGUAGGAAAGUGUAAUUUAGGGCAAUCUGUUGUGCAGUGUAAUUAUGUAGCCAGUACAUUAUAUGAAUGAAUAAUGUUUGUGCAAUGCUGAUGGAAGCCUAAUGAGGAAAUGGUGCGUUUGGAAAUGAUAUGAUACAUUAUGGUGGGAGCCUAUAUAGCUAUUGCUAUAAAAAAACUGUAGCCUAGUGCUGUAUAAAUUAUUUAGAGCCGUGGAAAUGAGCUGCCAGUGAAGUCCAUGUGGAUAAGCUCCCAAGUCAAACGGCAUACUGAGUCCCAUCAUGUCCAGAAUGCAACACAUUAGGAUGUCUGUUUCCAUUUUCAAUUUACAGAAGGAGGGCCUGGAGCUUUGAAAAUGGCACUUUUUGCUAUUUUGACAGUGCUGAACACACAGAAAGGAACACACACACACAAACACACACACACACACAAACACUUUUGGGGGUGAAGUCUUUCAGAUGCAUUCAUAUUCAAAGCGGAUUAAGGAGUAAAUAAGUAGUAAAUAAGAAUUCUCGGUUUAAAAAUCCCAGGGUGAAAUUCAGUGUUGCUUUAUCACAGACAUUCCCUCUGCACAAGUAUUUUACCUUGCCAGAUGGUACAGUCCCCUUCUUCUCUCUUUGAACACUAUUCUGGGGGAUUCUUCUGACCCAUCCAGGCCAAUUUCAGGGUUUGUGGGUGAAUCCAAUCCCCAGUGUUUAUGUGCUGAAACUUAGGUAGCCAAAUCCAAAUUUCAGACAUUAAUAAGGGACUCAAAACUAUAGCAUUCUGGUUUCACCCAAGAAGUCCCAUCAGUGAAAAUCCUGGGCAGGUAUACCAUGUAUGCAGCUUGCAACCAGCGGUGUGCACCACUUCUGUGUAUUUGCUGAACUGUAAAGUGAAAAUAAGUGAUUGGAUUAGGCUUUUACAUGCCUGAAUAUGUUCCAGUCAUUAACAAAAAGCUCUAUAUUGUAAUCACAGCAAUGUAUUUGUCAUUGAAAUUCUACUCAGUAUUGAUCCAGAGUAGAUUCCAGCGUAAUGUUAGCAGAGUAAAAACUUAAACACAUUGCGGGAUUCCCCAAAAAUAGACCAGAGGCAAUUAAUAUUUCAUCCAGCAGAGCUUUACUGCUACUGAAGGCAAAUGAACAUAAUGGUAACAAAUCCAAUACAUUCAGGAUUGGCACUGUCCAUAAGAAAUCCAGUUGCAGCAGACUUAACUUAAACUUACAGUACAAUAACAUAAAAUAAGACUAAACCUUAACACGAUAUACAGAACACCACACCAGAAGGGAAAGAGAUAGAAAGAGUGAAACCCAGUCUCCUUCUGGCCUUACUUUUAUAAUCAACAUGACCUUGACAGAAGAGAUAAGAGAACCAGUUUGGAGAGGUUUGAUCUUCUCCCUGUCCACGGGACUCUCAAGAGUCUUCUCCAGCACCAUAAUUCAAAAGCAUCAAUUCUUCUGCGAUCAGCCUUCUUUAUGGUCCAGCUCUCACUUCCAUACAUCACUACUGGGAAAACCAUAGCUUUAACUAUACGGACCUUUGUUGGCAAGGUGAUGUCUCUGCUUUUUAUGAUGCUGUCUAGGUUUGUCCUUGCUUUUCACCCAAGAAGCAGGCGUCUUUUAAUUUCGUGGCUGCUGUCACCAUCUGCAGUGAUCAUUGAACCCAAGAAAGUAAAAUCUCUCACUGCCUCAAUUUCUUAUCCCUUCUAUUUGCCAGGAGGUGAUGGGAUUACUGAGGUACCAUAAAGCAAUUCAAGAGUCCCUGUGCUACUUGUGCUAACUUGUGCAGAUCUUGCAUUGCCGCCGACAAAUCCUCAAUCCCUCUGAGGCUUACCAAUUUGGCCUGGGAAUUAGGAUCCAUCCACAUCUGAUGCACACCUGUAGAAUACAACGAAACUGCAAAGACUGCUUUAUGACAAUGAUGGCCUCUUAAAACGUGACCCGUUGAACAUUGCAUAUUCCUGUGAAGUUAAGUGGAGGUCUCACGAUAUACCCAUGAAAUAUAAACUACAGUAGACUCUCCUAAUAUUUCCCAGUGGGCCCCUAUUCUUUUUGGAGCAGCCGAGGAACAGCCUUUUGAUGAAUCCAUUUACCGUUCUUGCAAAAUGUUUGAAUUGCUCAAAGCAGCUGGUGUUACAAAUCCAAACUGUCUCAUCUUGCAUGUUGUCAGCAUAGCAUGUCAGUAUGGAGGUUAUGAUUAGUAAACUGCAAGGAUGGAUGGCUGUUUUAAUAGGCAACCCCAUCUGGGACCACAGGUAUUAAACCUGAGCAUGGCACACUCAAGCAUUUUAGCGCUGUUGGAGUAUCCGAGACACUGAGCUCAUGAAUGGUAGUGGGGGGUCUUUUUUCUUAGAAUCUGAUUUUACAAAGUCAGCCACCUAUUAAUACUAUAAUGCCACAAGUUAGGUAAUAGCUCACUUAAUCUCUUGAUGGACAUGAUCAGUUUGUCUAAGAAUGUACAAGAAUUCUAACAAAAAUUCUUGCUGGAUCAGACUAAGAAUGAUAAGAAUACUAAUAAGAAUACUAAUAAGAAUAAUUUAUUAUUUAUACCCCGCCCAUCUGGCUAGGUUUCCCCAGCCACUCUGGACAGUUUCCCAACCAAAUAUUAAAAACACGAGAAAACAUCCAACAUAAACUACUUCCCUAUGCAGGACUGCCUUCAGAUGUCUUCUAAAAGUCAGAUAGUUGUUUAUUUCCUUGAGGUCUGAUGGGAGGGCGUUUCACAGGGUGGGCGCCACCACAGAGAAGGCCCUCUGCCUGGUUCCCUGUAACUGCAAAUGCAACACAUUGAAAGGGUCCUAAUGAAAAUUGGGACACGGGUGGCGCUGUGGUCUAAACCACUGAGCCUAGGGCUUGCCGAUCAGAAGGUCGGCGGUUCGAAUCCCCGUGACAGGGUGAGCUCCCGUUGCUCUGUCCCAGCUCCUGCCAACCUAGCAGUUCAAAAGCAUGUCAAAGUGCAAAUAGAUAAAUAGGUACCGCUCCAGUGGGAAGGUAAAUGGCGUUUCUGUGAACUGCUCUGGUUUCACCGGAAGUGGUUUAGUCAUGCUGGUCACAUGACCUGGAAAAACUGUCUGCAGACAAACGCUGGCUUGCUCGGCCAGUAAAGUGAAAUGAGCACUGCAACCCCAGUCAUUCACGACUGGACUUAACUGUCAGGGGUCCUUUACCUUUACCUAAUGAAAUUUUCACUUGAAUGAAGAACAAAGGUUAAAGCAGCAUUGACCGCACAGGUCCCUAUUGUCAGCUUUCUAAGCAGAUGACUAGAUGUAUCAUGACAGGUGCCCCUCAACCAGUUGUCUCCUCAAGCUUAGCAUCCUGGAUCAUUGGCCUCUAAAUCCAGCCCUGGCAGUUGAACUGUGCAAACUGUUUUAGCAGUUCAAGCUACUAGAGACCACUGGUGUAUUGUUUUCAUGCAGCGAAACAAGCAGCAAUUGAAAGUGACAUCUGACAGACUUUGGGAAAACAUGAUUGGCUUUUGUUUACUCAUUUAAUGCCAACAGAAAGAUGAUGAAUGAUCCCCGCUGAGGUUGGCGAAAGCUACGUGAAGGUGAUGAAUUUGCAAUUCUCGAAAUGUGAAAACGUUCCAUCCCCAAAGUUCUAGGGAGAUUAAUUUAGUUGAAAAGAGGACUCUAUUUGUUACUUGCAGAGGUAUGUCUUGAGUAGGGAAAAAGAUGACAUGGGGAAUCAUAAAUGCUCACCAGGCAGUGUGGGUAGGAAGGAAGGCUAUGAGGAUUUACAGCCUGAGAUGUUAGUGAUGGUGGUAGAGGAGG